Molecule: ribosomal RNA, 253 nt
Filed under: uncultured bacterium
Lineage: Bacteria
Description: partial 16S ribosomal RNA
Rfam family: Bacterial small subunit ribosomal RNA
Source: RNAcentral
UACGUAGGGCGCAAGCGUUGUCCGGAAUUAUUGGGCGUAAAGAGCUCGUAGGCGGUCUGUUACGUCCGCUGUGAAAACCCAGGGCUUAACCCUGGGCUUGCAGUGGAUACGGGUAGACUAGAGGCAGGUAGGGGAGAAUGGAAUUCCCGGUGUAGCGGUGAAAUGCGCAGAUAUCAGGAGGAACACCGGUGGCGAAGGCGGGUCUCUGGGCCGAUACUGACGCUGAGGAGCGAAAGCGUGGGGAGCGAACAGG